Molecule: ribosomal RNA, 443 nt
Filed under: uncultured bacterium
Lineage: Bacteria
Description: partial 16S ribosomal RNA
Rfam family: Bacterial small subunit ribosomal RNA
Source: RNAcentral
CCUACGGGAGGCAGCAGUGGGGAAUAUUGGACAAUGGGGGAAACCCUGAUCCAGCGACGCCGCGUGAGUGAAGAAGUAUUUCGGUAUGUAAAGCUCUAUCAGCAGGGAAGAAAGAUAUGACGGUACCUGACUAAGAAGCCCCGGCUAACUACGCGCCAGCAGCCGCGGUAAUACGUAGGGGGCAAGCGUUACCCGGAUUUACUGGGUGUAAAGGGAGCGUAAACGGCGGUUCAAGUCUGGAGUUAAAGGCGGGGGCCCAACCCCUGGACUGCUUUGGAAACUGUAUGGCUAGAGUGCAGUAGAGGUAAGUGGAAUUCCUAGUGUAGCGGUGAAAUGCGUAGAUAUUAGGAAGAACACCAAAGGCGAAGGCAGCUUACUGGACUGUUACUGACGUUGAGGCUCGAAAGCGUGGGGAGCAAACAGGAUUAGAUACCCGUGUAGUC